CCAUGGUUCCUAGGAUGUGUGACAUCCCGAGGGCGGGAUAUUGCGGUGGGGUUCAUCGCGUCGCAGUGUCCUCCUACACUCGGACAGGGAAACAGAACGCACGCGAAGGAAACCUUUCAGGCGACGAACUAGAUGCGAGCUUGGGGUAGCUGGGCACGUAGUUCACUGUGUUUACGAGGGCCUGCGUAUACCAGUUGGCCUGACAUGUACUGCGUGCUACUUUCGUGACUCCUGCGAAGCCUGCGGUGAUUCUGCAUUGUCGUACCGAAAAGGCUUCCCUU
RNAcentral lists this long non-coding RNA (281 nucleotides) under Volvox carteri. RNAcentral's name for it is "long non-coding RNA (VCAR_LNC000845)". Lineage: Eukaryota; Viridiplantae; Chlorophyta; Chlorophyceae; Chlamydomonadales; Volvocaceae. The record is from RNAcentral.